GCAGUCUGGUGCCAGCAGCCGCGGUAAUUCCAGCUCCAAUAGCGUAUAUUAAAGUUGUUGCAGUUAAAAAGCUCGUAGUUGAACCUUGGGCCUGGCUGGCCGGUCCGCCUCACCGCGGGUACUGGUCCGGCUGGGCCUUUCCUUCUGGGGAACCCCAUGGCCUUCACUGGCCGUGGCGGGGAACCAGGACUUUUACUGUGAAAAAAUUAGAGUGUUCAAAGCAGGCCUUUGCUCGAAUACAUUAGCAUGGAAUAAUAGAAUAGGACGUGCAGUUCUAUUUUGUUGGUUUCUAGGACCGCCGUAAUGAUUAAUAGGGAUAGUCGGGGGCGUCAGUAUUCAGCUGUCAGAGGUGAAAUUCUUGGAUUUGCUGAAGACUAACUACUGCGAAAGCAUUUGCCAA
This 400-nucleotide ribosomal RNA is filed under the name uncultured fungus. Its description in RNAcentral is "SSU rRNA". It matches the Rfam family "Eukaryotic small subunit ribosomal RNA", at positions 556 to 961 of the family's 1831-position model. Lineage: Eukaryota; Fungi. The record is from RNAcentral.